Molecule: long non-coding RNA, 1921 nt
Organism: Oncorhynchus kisutch (coho salmon)
Lineage: Eukaryota; Metazoa; Chordata; Actinopteri; Salmoniformes; Salmonidae
Exons: 2
Source: RefSeq, a predicted model, not a curated record
GAAAAGUAGUGAUGGGGAAACAAAGCUUCCUGAAGCAUUGGCUCUUUCCAGAUAAUUGUUUUUUUUUAAAAAUAGUUUCAUUACUCAAGGCUUUGAGCGACACAGAAUUUAGAACAGCCACAUUUUGAAAGAUGACGUCCCACACCGUAGCAGAGUAGCCUUCAUGUCUUCUACGAAACCACUGGCCUUGAUCGAGAGCAUCAAGUCUAUGCUGCAUUGUGGGUAAACGGUGACUGGCUGACUGAUUUAUAAAUAAUAAUGAGUAGUUAUUUAUGAUGCAAGGUGAUUUGUAAAUUAGUGAGUCAGCAGCCACCUGCACUGUCGGCUGCAAAGUCGAACGAGCCCAAUACCAAACCAAUCAGGUGUUCGACGAAAUGAUUCUUCAGACGUCAUUGAUCACGUGCUGCUGAUAAAGGGACACUGCUUUGAAUUAUACCGCUUAGCGACUUCAGUACAUGCCUCAUAGCUUCAGUCUCAAACUUAACCCCGUUCCUGCUGAAGAAGAGGAGGUCUGCUGGAUGGAGAAGGAAGCUCUCGUGAAAGAGGAGGAGGCUGUUACAAUAUAAAAACAAGUAGAGGUUGAGGCUGUUACCGUGAAAGAAUAAGAGAAAGACGUCUCAGUUAAAGAAGACUCGUUCAGAAUGAAAGAGGGCGACGACGUUUCAGUGAAAGAAGUGGAGGGGGAGGUGACUGUGUCAUCGAACAAUGAAGAAGAGGAGGAAACUGGAUAUCUGGGCCCGGUUUCACAAACGCAUCUUAAGGCGUCCGAUGGAUCUAACGAUGAACAGGCCCUGAUUAACACUAGAGAGAGACCUGACUAUCGUGGAUCCUCUGGGGGGCCUCAACAACCUCAUGAUGCUGACCGGGCAGAGAAGAGACUCUCCAAAUCAAAACACCUCAAGAAACACCAGCAGAGACCCACAGGGAAGAAAUCUCAUUGCUGCUCUGACUGUGGGAAAGGUUGCAAAUCUUCAUCAGAACUUAAAAUACACCAGAGAACACACACAGGAGAGAAACCUUAUAGCUGUGAUCAAUGUGGGAGGAGUUUUGUUCAAGCUAGCCAUCUGACUAAACACCAGAGAACACACACAGGAGAGAAACCUUAUAGCUGUGAUCAAUGUGGGAGGAGUUUUAAUACAUCUAGCGGUCUGACAGUACACCAGAGAACACACACAGGAGAAAAACCUUAUAGCUGUGGUCAAUGUGGGAGGAGUUUUAAUACAUCUAGCGGUCUGACAUUACACCAGAGAAAACACACAGGAGAGAAACCUUACAUGUGUGAUCAAUGUGGGAGGAGUUUUGUUAAAGCUAGCCAUCUGACUCAACACCAGAGAACACACACAGGAGAGAAAUCUUAUAUGUGUGAUCAAUGUGGGAGGAGUUUUGUUCAAGCUAGCCAUCUGACUCAACACCAGAGAACACACACAGGAGAAAAACCUUAUAGCUGUGGUCAAUGUGGUUGGAGUUUUACUACAUCUAGCCAGCUAACUUCACACCAGAGAACACACACAGGAGAGAAACCUUUUAGCUGUGAUCAAUGUGACAAGAGAUACUCUGAUAAAAGAUCUCUGAUCAAACAUCAGAAAAUACAUACAUGAAGAAGUUGUUUCAUGAUAUCUCUGAAAUAAUGUCACAAUGUAAAAUGUUUUAACAUUGUAGUAGGAGUAUUUUAAUGAUGUCACAAUGUAGAAUGUUUUAACAUUGUAGUAGGAGUAUUUUAAUGAUGUCACAAUGUAGGAUGUUUUAACAUUGUAGUGGGAGUAUUUUAAUGAUGUCACAAUGUAGAAUGUUUUAACAUUGUAGUAGGAGUAUUUUAAUGAUGUUCUACCUUAUCGUUUACCCUGUUCAAUUGAUUGCAGCAUGAUAUGGAUAUUAACCUCAGGGGGAAAUCCAGGCUCUGAAUUGAAAGAGUAUUAUUAAA